UACGUAGGGUGCAAGCGUUGUCCGGAAUUAUUGGGCGUAAAGAGCUCGUAGGCGGUCUGUUGCGUCGGCUGUGAAAACCCGAGGCUCAACCUCGGGCCUGCAGCCGAUACGGGCAGACUAGAGUUCGGCAGGGGAGACUGGAAUUCCUGGUGUAGCGGUGAAAUGCGUAGAUAUCAAGAGGAACACCUGAGGUGAAGACGGGUUGCUGGGCCGACACUGACGGCUGAUGCGGCGAAAGCCAGGGGAGCAAACGGG
This 255-nucleotide ribosomal RNA is filed under the name uncultured bacterium. Its description in RNAcentral is "partial 16S ribosomal RNA". It matches the Rfam family "Bacterial small subunit ribosomal RNA", at positions 524 to 776 of the family's 1533-position model. The record is from RNAcentral.